Long non-coding RNA from Bos taurus (domestic cattle), 623 nucleotides. NCBI's taxonomy places the organism in Eukaryota, Metazoa, Chordata, Mammalia, Artiodactyla, Bovidae. The record is from Ensembl.
CCAGAUUUGUAAAGGAAGAGACUCUUCCAAACAUCUCUGGGACGUGCUUAAAGCAAGAUUCUAGAACAUCAACCAUACCCACUCUUUCUUAAGAGUGCUGUUUCUUCAGCCAUAUUCCUUCGUGCUCAGGAAAGAUCUUCAAAAAAGUAUCCCACAGCUUCUUCACUGCUCAGUCAUGAGUCUUGUUCCCAUAACAGUGCUUAUGACACUGUUAGCCCUGAGAGGAGCCGGAGCCCAGUCAGUGACCCAGCCUGACAGCCACAUCACUGUCUCUGAAGGAGCCGUCUGGAGCUGAGGUGCAACUACUCAUCUCCUGUUUCACCGUAUCUCUUCUGUCUAAUUGUAGACCUCUACUGUGUCUAGUCAAGGCAAUGGUUUUUCCAGUAGUCAUGUAUGGAUGUAAGAGUUGGACCGUGAAGAAAGCUGAGCGCCGAAGAAUUGAUGCUUUUGAACUGUUGUGUUGGAGAAGACUCUUGAGAGUCCCUUGGACUGCAAGGAGAUCCAAGAAGUCCAUCCUAAAGGAGAUCAGUCCUGGGUGUUCAUUGAAAGGACUGAUGCUGAAGCUGAAACUCCAGUACUUUGGCCACCUCAAGCGAAGAACUGACUCAUUGGAAAAAACUCUG